AAUUAUGAAGUAAAGUUUUACAUUCAACUUCGAAUUGAAAUUUAGAUAAAUUUAUAUCCUUAAUUA
Molecule: transfer RNA, 66 nt
Filed under: Ettchellsia sinica
Lineage: Eukaryota; Metazoa; Arthropoda; Insecta; Hymenoptera; Megalyridae
Description: tRNA-Arg
Source: RNAcentral